This is a non-coding RNA of Acanthosepion pharaonis, 113 nucleotides long. NCBI's taxonomy places the organism in Eukaryota, Metazoa, Mollusca, Cephalopoda, Sepiida, Sepiidae. The record is from the annotation of a GenBank genome assembly.
UACGGCCACUUCACGUUACAACACAGGUUCCGGUACUAUCACCGGAAUUAAGCAAAGUCGAGCAUGGUCAGUACUUAGAUGGAUGACUGCUUGGGAAUACCAGGUGCUGUAAG